This is a small nuclear RNA of Symphalangus syndactylus (siamang), 109 nucleotides long. Lineage: Eukaryota; Metazoa; Chordata; Mammalia; Primates; Hylobatidae. The record is from RefSeq and is a predicted model, not a curated record.
UUUGCUUUGGUGGCACAUAACGCUAAAAUUGGAAUGACUCAGAGAAGAUUAUCAGGGUCCUUGCAAAGGAUGACAUACAACUUCAGGAAGCACUCUGUAUGCAUUUUUU